CCCCGCGAAGAAGGGUGUUUUUUAAACAAACAACCACCCCCCUUGUUUUUGAAUCACCUCCCCGUGGGGGGAGAAAAUUUUUUCGUUUUGUGAGAAAGCCGCCCGCCGCCCUUUUUACACUUUUUGUUGGGGGGGUAGUGCCUCCCACAGAGCGGAAACGGGGUUAACGCCCUCUAGAGAGGUGCCCGCGCCCCACUGGGAACUGGAAUUUCGGCCCCAGAUCUCCUAGGGAGGCCACCCAUGGGGGAUAUUUGCCCAAUGGGGCCAAAGCCUUAUGCAAGGACCCCCGCUUGGGGGAUGACGGCCUUUCGGGUUGUAAACCCCUUUCCCCCAGGGACGAAGAGAGAUUGACGGUACCUGGAGAAGAAGGACCGCCCAACUACGUGCCAGCAGCCGCGGUAAUACGUAGGGUCCGAGCGUUGUCCGGAAUUACUGGGCGUAAAGAGCUCGUAGGUGGUUUGUCGCGUUGUUCGUGAAAACUCACAGCUUAACUGUGGGCGUGCGGGCGAUACGGGCAGACUGGAGUACUGCAGGGGAGACUGGAAUUCCUGGUGUAGCGGUGGAAUGCGCAGAUAUCAGGAGGAACACCGGUGGCGAAGGCGGGUCUCUGGGCAGUAACUGACGCUGAGGAGCGAAAGCGUGGGGAGCGAACAGGAUUAGAUACCCUGGUAGUCCACGCCGUAAACGGUGGGUACUAGGUGUGGGUUUCCUUCCUUGGGAUCCGUGCCGUAGCUAACGCAUUAAGUACCCCGCCUGGGGAGUACGGCCGCAAGGCUAAAACUCAAAGGAAUUGACGGGGGCCCGCACAAGCGGCGGAGCAUGUGGAUUAAUUCGAUGCAACGCGAAGAACCUUACCUGGGUUUGACAUGCACAGGACGCCGGCAGAGAUGUCGGUUCCCUUGUGGCCUGUGUGCAGGUGGUGCAUGGCUGUCGUCAGCUCGUGUCGUGAGAUGUUGGGUUAAGUCCCGCAACGAGCGCAACCCUUGUCUCAUGUUGCCAGCACGUUAUGGUGGGGACUCGUGAGAGGCUGCCGGGGUCAACUCGGAGGAAGGUGGGGAUGACGUCAAGUCAUCAUGCCCCUUAUGUCCAGGGCUUCACACAUGCUACAAUGGCCGGUACAAAGGGCUGCGAUGCCGUGAGGUGGAGCGAAUCCUUUCAAAGCCGGUCUCAGUUCGGAUCGGGGUCUGCAACUCGACCCCGUGAAGUCGGAGUCGCUAGUAAUCGCAGAUCAGCAACGCUGCGGUGAAUACGUUCCCGGGCCUUGUACGCACCGCCCGUCACGUCAUGAAAGUCGGUAACACCCGAAGCCGGUGGCCUAACCCCUUGUGGGAGGGAGCCGUCGAAGGUGGGAUCGGCGAUUGGGACGAAGUCGUAACAAGGUAGCCGUCGAAUAGCAUUCUACGCCCACGCCACGGCCACGGGGACCUGCCGACAUCUGGCCUCAAUUCGCUCCUCUAGUGACUCGAUAUACGAAUUCAACUGCCCUGUC
RNAcentral lists this ribosomal RNA (1489 nucleotides) under uncultured bacterium. RNAcentral describes it as "bacterial SSU rRNA". It matches the Rfam family "Bacterial small subunit ribosomal RNA". The record is from RNAcentral.